CCUUGUACACACCGCCCGUCAAGUCAUGAAACGUCGGUAACACCCGAAGCCAGUGGCCCAACCGCAAGGAGGGAGCUGUCGAAGGUGGGAUCGGUGAUUAGGACU
Molecule: ribosomal RNA, 105 nt
Filed under: uncultured bacterium
Lineage: Bacteria
Description: partial 16S ribosomal RNA
Rfam family: Bacterial small subunit ribosomal RNA
Source: RNAcentral